Cyprinus carpio carpio is the source of this 1504-nucleotide long non-coding RNA. The record is from Ensembl. Lineage: Eukaryota; Metazoa; Chordata; Actinopteri; Cypriniformes; Cyprinidae.
GAACGGGCAUCCAAGUUUUGGCACUCCAUAUCCCUCUUUUCUAGAUCCUUUACGAGUGUAUUCUUCUUCUUUUCUGGUUGCGCGCAUUUCAGACUAGUUACGUCUGCGCAUUGGGAACUGUUCUUCAGCCAAUCAUAAAACUCCUUCACUUUGUCACAUUUACAGUCGAACGGGUUGUGUGAUAAGUAAAUAUGUAUUUCCUCGAAUUCGAUUAGUUUUGCUAAAUUGUGCUUAUCUAAUGUCGCAAUGGAAUUAUUUGUGAGUAUUAAAGUGGUUAAAUUGAGGUUGCCAAACCCAGAAAGAGGAAUUACCUUAAAACAAUUUCCAGACAGGUCCAGUCUCUGAAGAUUACACAAACUGUCCGUGGACAGCGCGAGUGGUAAUUGCCCCGCGCCCGAAGUCAUUAAGUUGUUACUGAGGUUAAGAUGACGUAGCCGUUCCAAGCCAUAAAAAGCUCCAGGGGACACAACCCUUAAACGGUUGUGACUCAAAUCUAAGGAAACAAGUCGUGGGAGUCCGCAAAACGCACAACUUUUGAUCACCUGUAUGUUGUUGUCCUGCAAUGACAGCGCGCGCAAGUCCAUAUCGGUCCCAUUGGCCGAAAACGCUCUCUCGGUUAAAACUGAGAUGUUAUAUCUGUAUAAAGUUAAUUUUUGGGUGCUUCUGGGCACUUCGAGAGGUAGCAUGAUCUCUUCACAGCUCACCAACCCGUCAUAACGCAUGUAGGUAUCGUGACAUUUAUGAGCUUCAGCGAACAAAACAAACAAACACAUCAGUCCCGCGCUAAAACUAUAUCGCUUUAAAGUGUGAGAUAAAACACGAAGUGGUUUUCUGUUCAUUUCCAUUUUAAUCUGAAGCGAAUGUUAUUCCAAAGGUUUAACUGCAGCAUAUGUUCUCUUCAUAGUUCGGAUUCACUUCGCCUCGGGAAUCCGUUUGAGCCAUCAAGGAAAGCAGUCCGUGUGGCCAGAGAGUGAGCGUUCAGUCCGGCUGCAUUUUCUCUUUCUGGAGCUCCCCUGACGACGCCUUCACUACAAAUGCGAUCUAGUGCUGUCUAGCAGCAUCCCUGAGGUGCUUCCUCUCGGCUGGCGGAGAAUGAGGAAAUCACACAGGGACAUCUGCGAGGACCUGUGAGACGCCAAGCUCCUGUACUCAACCAGAACGUCUGCUAUCAGGCUGUGUCUACACUGCGUGAUUACCACAACACAGAUAAGAAACCUUGUGAUUAUAAUAUUACAGCUGUCACAUUGACCCGCAGGCUUGAUGUAAACAAGGGUGUCAUCCACUAGUGAAUGUGGAUGUGAGCAUCUGACAUACUGUCAGCAGAAUUUAAAAUGAUAUGUAUAUACUCAUCACUUUGUGGUCUCACACAUCAAAUGCCUAGAUACUUCAAACUAGGACGCUUGUCAACAGACGUCCAAGCCUGACAUGUUCAUUCAGAUCCAUAAUAUAUAAGCUUAUAAAACUGCUCACUAUUAGACACACAUGUAUUGUGAACUCAUGUAAA